CGGACGGGUGAGUAACGCGUGGGUAACCUGCCUUACACAAGGGGAUAGCCGUUGGAAACGACGAAUAAUACCCUAUGACAUAAACUCUUCGCAUGAGGAGCUUAUCAAAGAUUUAUCGGUGUAAGAUGGACUCGCGUCUGAUUAGCUAGUUGGUGAGGUAACGGCCCACCAAGGCGACGAUCAGUAGCCGGCUUGAGAGAGUGUACGGCCACAUUGGGACUGAGACACGGCCCAGACUCCUACGGGAGGCAGCAGCC
Molecule: ribosomal RNA, 257 nt
Filed under: uncultured Anaerococcus sp.
Lineage: Bacteria; Bacillati; Bacillota; Tissierellia; Tissierellales; Peptoniphilaceae
Description: partial 16S ribosomal RNA
Rfam family: Bacterial small subunit ribosomal RNA
Source: RNAcentral